UGCUUCUUAGUUCAGUGGUUAAGAACAGCUCUCUUACACAGAGAAGGUCAUAGGUUCGAGUCCUAUAGAAGCAA
Molecule: transfer RNA, 74 nt
Filed under: Crassvirales sp.
Lineage: Duplodnaviria; Heunggongvirae; Uroviricota; Caudoviricetes; Crassvirales
Also listed under: 1 other name
Description: tRNA-Val
Rfam family: tRNA
About the family: Transfer RNA (tRNA) molecules are approximately 80 nucleotides in length. Their secondary structure includes four short double-helical elements and three loops (D, anti-codon, and T loops).
Source: RNAcentral